RNAcentral lists this ribosomal RNA (496 nucleotides) under uncultured bacterium. RNAcentral's name for it is "partial 16S ribosomal RNA". It matches the Rfam family "Bacterial small subunit ribosomal RNA", at positions 28 to 506 of the family's 1533-position model. The record is from RNAcentral.
GAUGAACGCUGGCGGCGUGCCUAAUACAUGCAAGUCGAGCGAACAGACGAGGAGCUUGCUCCUCUGACGUUAGCGGCGGACGGGUGAGUAGCACGUGGAUAACCUACCUAUAAGACUGGGAUAACUUCGGGAAGCCGGAGCUAAUACCGGAUAAUAUAUUGAACCGCAUGGUUCAAUAGUGAAAGACGGUUUUGCUGUCACUUAUAGAUGGAUCCGCGCCGCAUUAGCUAGUUGGUAAGGUAACGGCUUACCAAGGCAACGAUGCGUGGCCGACCUGAGAGGGUGAUCGGCCACACUGGAACUGAGACACGGUCCAGACUCCUACGGGAGGCAGCAGUAGGGAAUCUUCCGCAAUGGGCGAAAGCCUGACGGAGCAACGCCGCGUGAGUGAUGAAGGUCUUCGGAUCGUAAAACUCUGUUAUUAGGGAAGAACAAAUGUGUAAGUAACUAUGCACGUCUUGACGGUACCUAAGCAGAAAGCCACGGCUAACUACGU